This 296-nucleotide ribosomal RNA is filed under the name uncultured microorganism. RNAcentral describes it as "partial 16S ribosomal RNA". It matches the Rfam family "Bacterial small subunit ribosomal RNA", at positions 505 to 796 of the family's 1533-position model. The record is from RNAcentral.
GUGCCAGCAGCCGCGGUAAUACGGAGGGGGUUAGCGUUGUUCGGAAUUACUGGGCGUAAAGCGCACGUAGGCGGGUCAGAAAGUUGGGGGUGAAAUCCCGGGGCUCAACCCCGGAACGGCCUCCAAAACUCCUGGGUCUUGAGUUUCGAGAGAGGUGAGUGGAAAUUCCGAGUGUAGAGGUGAAAUUCGUAGAUAUUCGGAGGAACACCAGUGGCGAAGGCGGCUCACUGGCUCGAUACUGACGCUGAGGUGCGAAAGUGUGGGGAGCAAACAGGAUUAGAUACCCUGGGUAGUCC